UGGAUACUUCAAGAAAAAUGGAUGAAAGUCGAUAUAGCAUAAAUUAUCAUCUAUAUAUACUGAAUAAUCCAGUCAUAAAUUAUUAUUAUAAUUAUUAAAUAGCAAAAGAGAAAAGAAAAAUAGGAGAAGGUAACUCAAACCCCAACAAUUACCUGGCUCUAGCUAACUCAUGAAGCUCUUUAAUGGACCUUCGAAAUUCAAUAACACACACACACUAUAACUACUCGAUGAUGUAGUAAAAAAGUCAUUUAGCGGCUGCUCUAGCGUUUUGUUCCUUUUUUAGUUCGACCUUGAUCUUUUUCUGACACAUUUGUGCCACCGCUGUCACCAACAUCAUCACCUCCUUCCCUACUUCCUUUGAUGUUGGAUCUUUCCUUCACGGUUCCGGUUUAGCUUUUCAUUUUGUUUACAUAUGAAAAACUGUGAAUGCUCUAGACUAAUAUCAGCUUUGGAAUAGCUAUUCAAAAGAAGAUAAAUCUAAUAGAUCCCCUUU
Molecule: long non-coding RNA, 493 nt
Organism: Hibiscus syriacus
Lineage: Eukaryota; Viridiplantae; Streptophyta; Magnoliopsida; Malvales; Malvaceae
Exons: 3
Source: RefSeq, a predicted model, not a curated record